Molecule: ribosomal RNA, 260 nt
Filed under: uncultured bacterium
Lineage: Bacteria
Description: partial 16S ribosomal RNA
Rfam family: Bacterial small subunit ribosomal RNA
Source: RNAcentral
GUCCACGCCGUAAACUAUGGGUGCUAGCCGUCGGUCGGCAUGCCGGUCGGUGGCGCAGCAAACGCAUUAAGCACCCCGCCUGGGGAGUACGGUCGCAAGAUUAAAACUCAAAGGAAUUGACGGGGGCCCCGCACAAGCGGUGGAGCAUGUGGUUUAAUUCGAGGCAACGCGAAGAACCUUACCAGCCCUUGACUUCCCGGUCGGGGCUCCGGAGACGGAGCUCUUCAAUUGGCCGGUGACAGGUGCUGCAUGGCUGUCGU